Molecule: long non-coding RNA, 268 nt
Filed under: Sorghum bicolor (sorghum)
Lineage: Eukaryota; Viridiplantae; Streptophyta; Magnoliopsida; Poales; Poaceae
Description: long non-coding RNA (SBIC_LNC018508)
Source: RNAcentral
GCAACCAGAAGCUAGAUGGCUGACCCAUGGUACAAACUCCAAGCAUCACCACGGACAGAAUACAAGGAGUUACGUGGCAUUCUAUAGAUGGAUGAAAGCAUCUUUAAGUCUAUGUUGCAGCCCAUCAAACGGUUCAUUAUUUAGACUUCCCAAUAAAGAGUUAUGCUCAUUUUAGUAACUGCUGCCAGAAGCUGAGAAGACGCGCGAACCAGCCACGAAAUCCACUAGUGGAUGUGCAUGCUGUCAUGUAUUCAAAGCUGAACGCCCC